This 1456-nucleotide ribosomal RNA is filed under the name uncultured prokaryote. RNAcentral describes it as "partial 16S ribosomal RNA". It matches the Rfam family "Bacterial small subunit ribosomal RNA". The record is from RNAcentral.
AGAGUUUGAUCCUUGGCUCAGAUUGAACGCUGGCGGCAUGGCUAAAACAUGCAAGUCGAGGGAGAAACCCCUUCGGGGGUGGAAACCGGCGGAAGGGCGAGGAAUACAUUGGAACGUGCCCCGAGGUGGGGGAUAGCCAGGGGAAACUCUGGGUAAUACCCCACAAGCUCUUCGGAGGAAAGCUCCGGCGCCUUGGGAGCGGCCAACGUCCCAUCAGGUAGUUGGUGAGGUAAAGGCUCACCAAGCCAAAGACGGGUAGCGGGUGUGAGAGCAUGGCCCGCCACAUCGGGACUGAGACACUGCCCGGACUCCUACGGGAGGCUGCAGCGACGAAUCUUCCGCAAUGCGCGAAAGCGUGACGGAGCAAUGCCGCGUGCAGGAUGAAGCGGCUUCGCCGUGUAAACUGCUGUCAGGGUGCAGGAAUACUGACCAUACCCAGAGGAAGGACCGGCUAACCUCGUGCCAGCAGCCGCGGUAAUACGAGGGGUCCAAGCGUUAAUCGGAAUCACUGGGCUUAAAGGGUACGUAGGCGGCCCUGUAAGCAUCUCGUGAAAUCCCACGGCUCAACCGUGGAAUUGCGGGGUGAACUACAGGGCUUGAGGCAGGUAGAGGUCGUCGGAACGAUCGGUGGAGCGGUGAAAUGCGUUGAUAUCGAUCGGAACGCCGAAGGAGAAGUCAGGCGACUGGGCCUGUCCUGACGCUGAGGUACGAAAGCGUGGGUAGCGAACGGGAUUAGAUACCCCGGUAGUCCACGCCCUAAACGAUGUGCACUAGAUCGAGGCGGCUCUGACGUCGUCUCGGCCGAAGCGAAAGCGUUAAGUGCACCGCCUGGGGAGUACGGUCGCAAGGCUAAAACUCAAAGGAAUUGACGGGGGCUCACACAAGCGGUGGAGCAUGUUGCUUAAUUCGAGGCAACGCGAAGAACCUUACCAGGGUUUGACAUGCAUGGAUUAGCUCUUGGAAACUUGAGUAACGCCCUUUGGGUGGAACAUGCACAGGUGCUGCAUGGCUGUCGUCAGCUCGUGCUGUGAAGUGUCGGGGUAAGUCCCUUAACGAGCGCAACCCCUAUCGUUAGUUGCUAACAGGUUAUGCUGAGUACUCUAGCGAGACUGCCGGUGUCAAACCGGAGGAAGGUGGGGAUGACGUCAAGUCCUCAUGGCCCUUAUGUCCUGGGAUGCAAACGUGCUACAAUGGCGUGUACAGAGCGACGCAAUCUCGCGAGAGUGAGCAAAUCGCAAAAAGCACGCCCCAGUUCGGAUUGCAGGCUGCAACUCGCCUGCAUGAAGUUGGAAUCGCUAGUAAUCGUGGAUCAGCUACGCCACGGUGAAUACGUUCCUGAGCCUUGUACACACCGCCCGUCACGUCAUGGAAGCCGGGAGCGCCCGAAGUCGCCCCAUCUCAGGGGUGCCUACGGCGAGAUCGGUGACUGGGACGAAGUCGUAACAAGGUAACCGUA